Carcharodon carcharias (great white shark) is the source of this 73-nucleotide non-coding RNA. NCBI's taxonomy places the organism in Eukaryota, Metazoa, Chordata, Chondrichthyes, Lamniformes, Lamnidae. The record is from the annotation of a RefSeq genome assembly.
GUUUCUGUAGUGUAGUGGUAAUCACAUUCGCCUUACACACGAAAGGUCCCUGGUUCAAAACCGGGCAGAAACA